Molecule: ribosomal RNA, 253 nt
Filed under: uncultured bacterium
Lineage: Bacteria
Description: partial 16S ribosomal RNA
Rfam family: Bacterial small subunit ribosomal RNA
Source: RNAcentral
GACGAAGGGGGCAAGCGUUGUUCGGAAUUACUGGGCGUAAAGGGCGCGUAGGCGGCCAUUUGAGUCAGACGUGAAAGGCCUGGGCUCAACCUGGGAAUUGCGUUUGAUACUGGAUGGCUUGAGAGCGGGAGAGGAUGGUGGAAUUCCCAGUGUAGAGGUGAAAUUCGUAGAUAUUGGGAAGAACACCGGUGGCGAAGGCGGCCAUCUGGACCGUAUCUGACGCUGAGGCGCGAAAGCGUGGGGAGCAAACACU